RNAcentral lists this ribosomal RNA (449 nucleotides) under Anopheles maculipennis. RNAcentral describes it as "eukaryotic LSU rRNA". The stretch from base 12 to 129 matches the Rfam family "5.8S ribosomal RNA", at positions 37 to 154 of the family's 154-position model. Lineage: Eukaryota; Metazoa; Arthropoda; Insecta; Diptera; Culicidae. The record is from RNAcentral.
UGUCAUCGAAUUGGAGAACGCAGCUAAAUGCGCGUCACAAUGUGAACUGCAGGACACAUGAACACCGAUAAGUUGAACGCAUAUUGCGCAUCGUGCGACACAGCUCGAUGUACACAUUUUUGAGUGCCUAUAUUUGACCCAGGUCAAACUACGUACCUCCGGGUACGUGCAUGAUGAUGAAAGAGUUUGGAACACCAUCCUUCUCUUGCAUUGAAAACGCAGCGUGUAGCAACCCCAGGUUUCAACUUGCAAAGUGGCCAUGGGGCUGACACCUCACCACCAUCAGCGUGCUGUGUAGCGUGUUCGGCCCAGUUCGGUCAUCGUGAGGCGUUACCUAACGGGGAGGCACACACUGUUGCGCGUAUCUCAUGGUUACCCAACCAUAGCAGCAGAGAUACAACACCGGCUCCUAGUAGCCCAUGGGCCUCAAAUAAUGAUACUCGACCAUA